RNAcentral lists this ribosomal RNA (486 nucleotides) under uncultured bacterium. Its description in RNAcentral is "SSU rRNA". It matches the Rfam family "Bacterial small subunit ribosomal RNA", at positions 26 to 521 of the family's 1533-position model. The record is from RNAcentral.
AGGACGAACGCUGGCGGCGUGCUUAACACAUGCAAGUCGAACGAGGUCCAUCUGGUGGCAACACCGGAGAAGACCUAGUGGCGAACGGGUGAGUAACACGUGAGCAACCUGCCCCGAAGACCGGGAUAACAGCGGGAAACCGCUGCUAAUACCGGAUAUCCCCGCCGGGUCACAUGGCCCGAUGAGGAAAUGGAUUCCGCUUCGGGAGGGGCUCGCGGCCUAUCAGCUUGUUGGUGGGGUAACGGCCUACCAAGGCGACGACGGGUAGCUGGUCUGAGAGGACGAUCAGCCACACUGGGACUGAGACACGGCCCAGACUCCUACGGGAGGCAGCAGUGGGGAAUCUUGCGCAAUGGGCGAAAGCCUGACGCAGCAACGCCGCGUGAGGGAUGAAGGCCUUCGGGUUGUAAACCUCUUUCGAGCAGGGACGAUAAUGACGGUACCUGCAGAAGAAGCGCCGGCUAACUACGCGCCAGCAGCCGCGGU